Molecule: ribosomal RNA, 253 nt
Filed under: uncultured bacterium
Lineage: Bacteria
Description: partial 16S ribosomal RNA
Rfam family: Bacterial small subunit ribosomal RNA
Source: RNAcentral
UACGUAGGGUGCGAGCGUUAAUCGGAAUUACUGGGCGUAAAGCGUGCGCAGGCGGCUUUGCAAGACAGAUGUGAAAUCCCCGGGCUCAACCUGGGAACUGCUUUCAAAACUGCUGAGCUAGAGUACGGUAGAGGGUGGUGGAAUUUCCUGUGUAGCGGUGAAAUGCGUAGAUAUAGGAAGGAACACCAGUGGCGAAGGCAAUCCCCUGGACCUGUACUGACGCUCAUGCACGAAAGCGUGGGGAGCAAACAGG